GACGAACGCUGGCGGCGUGCCUAAUACAUGCAAGUCGAGCGAAGUUUUUUGGUGCUUGCACUAGAAAAACUUAGCGGCGAACGGGUGAGUAACACGUAAAGAACCUGCCUCAUAGACUGGGACAACUAUUGGAAACGAUAGCUAAUACCGGAUAACAGCAUUAACUGCAUGGUUGAUGUUUGAAAGUUGGUUAUGCUAACACUAUGAGAUGGCUUUGCGGCGCAUUAGCUAGUUGGUGGGGUAAAGGCCUACCAAGGCGACGAUGCAUAGCCGACCUGAGAGGGUGAUCGGCCACACGGGACUGAGACACGGCCCAGACUCCUACGGGAGGCAGCAGUAGGGAAUCUUCCGCAAUGGGCGAAAGCCUGACGGAGCAACGCCGCGUGAGUGAAGAAGGAUUUCGGUUCGUAAAGCUCUGUUGUUAGGGAAGAAUGGAUAUGUAGAACUAUACA
This 452-nucleotide ribosomal RNA is filed under the name Gemella morbillorum. RNAcentral describes it as "bacterial SSU rRNA". It matches the Rfam family "Bacterial small subunit ribosomal RNA", at positions 28 to 470 of the family's 1533-position model. Lineage: Bacteria; Bacillati; Bacillota; Bacilli; Caryophanales; Gemellaceae. The record is from RNAcentral.